RNAcentral lists this transfer RNA (71 nucleotides) under Ictidomys tridecemlineatus (thirteen-lined ground squirrel). RNAcentral's name for it is "Spermophilus tridecemlineatus (thirteen-lined ground squirrel) tRNA". It matches the Rfam family "tRNA". Rfam says of the family: Transfer RNA (tRNA) molecules are approximately 80 nucleotides in length. Their secondary structure includes four short double-helical elements and three loops (D, anti-codon, and T loops). The record is from Rfam by way of RNAcentral. Lineage: Eukaryota; Metazoa; Chordata; Mammalia; Rodentia; Sciuridae.
UGGGAUGUGGCUCAGUGAGAGAGUGCUUGCCUCACAUCAUGAAGCUCUGGGUUCAAUCCCCAGCACCACAA